Long non-coding RNA from Zalophus californianus (California sea lion), 1064 nucleotides. RefSeq lists it as uncharacterized. The record is from RefSeq and is a predicted model, not a curated record. The transcript has 3 exons. Lineage: Eukaryota; Metazoa; Chordata; Mammalia; Carnivora; Otariidae.
AUACAACCUUGCAGAAAGAAAGAGAAAACUAGACAUAUAAACACACUGAAUGAUCUGUUAAAUGUCGUCCGGGAGAGGCCCAGAGACUAGAAGGAAGAUCAGUCAGGCCUGGAAUAACCCAAAUAACCCAGGCGGGCCCGGAGGAGGGAAGAGACCCCAUCUGAACAGCCUUGCGGGAUGGGCCGACGUCCGACAGGACUCAGGAGGGUUCUUCGAUAAGGGAGGCUCACAGUGAGGAAAGCCCUCUGCUUCCAGGCUGAGGCCGAAUUCUCCCGCCACUCACUGGAGAUUUUACUGCAUGGAAUCCCAGAGGGUCACUUUGCAUCUACUUGUUGUCAGUAGCAUAUUUUCAUUGGGUCGCUUACUGUGGCUUCAUUUGCCAGCUUCCUCAGUGGCCCCAAUGUGCACAAAGUCUCCAGUCUUGUCCUCUGCAACCUCUCAGGGGCAGUUCCUGUUUCUUGGAGCAAAGAUGACACGACUGGUUGUGGGGAGAGGCGUUCCCGGCCAAACAUCGCACCGGCCACUUGUUUCCUCCCGUUCAGUUGAAGGCACACGGUUGAAGGGAUUAUUGUCAGUUUUUGCUGCAUGUGGGGACAAGUACAUCACAUCUCCAGAAGUGGGUCCUUCUUGACUAAAGAGCCAGCCUGCAGAAAACAGUAGUUUUUUCUUUCUUAUACCUACCAGAAAAUUGGCCAUCAAAGGUAGUUCUAUUUGUUGAUGUGUUGUGCACUGCCAGGAUUAUUGGUUUUCCCAGGGAAGCUGAUCAUGAGGAGUGUUUUACUUGGGUUAAUUAUGUUAUUAAGUAUUAUACCCCAUUCCAGGUGAGCAGAAAGAGGCUCUUUGUCUUCAGGACACUAAGGUGCCUUCUGGGGCCAAACCCUACAGCGUGGUGGGAGCCAGGGCUCCGGACGCUGCCAGGACCUCUCUGUUUCUCAUCUGUGCUGCUGUCAGCACCUCUCCCUCCUUGUGGCCAAGUCGGGAGGAUCUGACUGCCUCGCUUCUUUAUACCUCGCCAUUGAGCCAUGUGGAGAGGCCAGCGUGAAGGCCCCAAGUCCAGCCCUGGA